AUCAAAUAAAAGUUAAAGAAAACGGUUCAUGCUUUUAUGCCUGAAUAAAAAGUUAUUUAGAGUAUCCCCAAUCAGACAGCUAUCCAACGACAAAACAUCUAUAGGAGUCAACAGACUGUCUUCAACAAUUGACAAGUGUCUAUUCAAUAAGGUGAACAUUUACAAUCCCCCCUCCCAGUCAAGAAAAAAAACCCCGAUCAAUUUAAUUGAGACUAUUAUAUCUGUUAACAACUGUAAAUGUGGAUCUAGUAGGACUUUACAGAAAAGAGCGUAAUGAUGAAAACAAAAAGAAUAAAGGUGAUAAGAUAUAAAGAAUAGAUAAUAAUGAACACAAAUCAGUAAAGAGAAUAAUGGCAUGAAAACUUAAGAAAGCGAAAAUGAAGAAAGCCACCGAGACCCUUCCUAAACUACCUAUAAAUGAUAGCUAUAACAAUACAACAAAAGAUAACGACUCUUGACUUACAUGCACCUAUCACACGAAUAUGUGGCGAUGUUUUUAGCUGUUUAUAUUCCGAUCGUCCCCCUUUUCAGUAAUUAAUCUUAACAAGGUUUCUCAAUCAGUGAAGAAAUAAAAGGUAAAUCUAGGAACGUAAAGGAAGUUCACUGGACUCGUUAAAAAACCCCGCUGACAAGUAAACACCACUAAUAUGUACAAAAUACAUGCAGAGGUUGAACUUGAGAUACUCGUUCAAAUCAAAGUUAUAAUAACGUUAAGACAGUCUACAAAACACUA
RNAcentral lists this long non-coding RNA (733 nucleotides) under Mytilus galloprovincialis (Mediterranean mussel). Lineage: Eukaryota; Metazoa; Mollusca; Bivalvia; Mytilida; Mytilidae. The record is from RNAcentral.